RNAcentral lists this ribosomal RNA (253 nucleotides) under uncultured bacterium. Its description in RNAcentral is "partial 16S ribosomal RNA". It matches the Rfam family "Bacterial small subunit ribosomal RNA", at positions 524 to 776 of the family's 1533-position model. The record is from RNAcentral.
UACGUAGGGUGCAAGCGUUGUCCGGAAUUAUUGGGCGUAAAGGGCGCGUAGGCGGUGCGGUAAGUCUGUAGUGAAAUCUCUGGGCUCAACUCAGAGUCUGCUGCAGAAACUGCCGUGCUUGAGUGUGGGAGAGGUGAGUGGAAUUCCCGGUGUAGCGGUGAAAUGCGUAGAUAUCAGGAGGAACACCGAUGGCGAAGGCAGGUCUCUGGGCAUUAACUGACGCUGAGGAGCGAAAGCAUGGGGAGCGAACAGG